GGGCCCGCACAAGCGGUGGAGUAUGUGGUUUAAUUCGAUGCAACGCGAAGAACCUUACCAGGGUUUGACAUCCUGCGAAUCUCUUGGAAACGAGAGAGUGCCUUCGGGAACGCAGUGACAGGUGGUGCAUGGCUGUCGUCAGCUCGUGUCGUGAGAUGUUGGGUUAAGUCCCGCAACGAGCGCAACCCUCGCCGUUAGUUGCCAGCAGGUUUGGCUGGGCACUCUAACGGGACCGCCGGUGUCAAGCCGGAGGAAGGUGGGGAUGACGUCAAGUCCUCAUGGCCCCUUAUGUGUAGGGCUACACACGUGCUACAAUGGACGGUACAGAGGGUCGCCAACCCGCGAGGGGAG
RNAcentral lists this ribosomal RNA (351 nucleotides) under uncultured bacterium. Its description in RNAcentral is "bacterial SSU rRNA". It matches the Rfam family "Bacterial small subunit ribosomal RNA", at positions 917 to 1266 of the family's 1533-position model. The record is from RNAcentral.